Molecule: ribosomal RNA, 454 nt
Filed under: uncultured Marinilabiliaceae bacterium
Lineage: Bacteria; Pseudomonadati; Bacteroidota; Bacteroidia; Marinilabiliales; Marinilabiliaceae
Description: partial 16S ribosomal RNA
Rfam family: Bacterial small subunit ribosomal RNA
Source: RNAcentral
ACGGGAGGCAGCAGUGAGGAAUAUUGGUCAAUGGACGGAAGUCUGAACCAGCCAAGUCGCGUGCGGGAUGAAGGCCCUACGGGUCGUAAACCGCCUUUGUACGGGGAUAAAGUCACCCACGUGUGGGUGUUUGUAGGUACCGUAAGAAUAAGGAUCGGCUAACUCCGUGCCAGCAGCCGCGGUAAUACGGAGGAUCCGAGCGUUAUCCGGAUUUAUUGGGUUUAAAGGGUGCGCAGGCGGGCUGCUAAGUCUCCGGUGAAAUGUCAGGGCUCAACCUUGGCACUGCCGGAGAUACUGGCGGCCUUGAGAGUGGCGGAGGUAUCCGGAAUGUGUGGUGUAGCGGUGAAAUGCAUAGAUAUUCCACAGAACACCGAUUGCGAAGGCAGCCUACGAAUGCGUAACUGACGCUCAUGCACGAAAGCGCGGGUAGCGAACAGGAUUAGAUACCCUGGUA